This 550-nucleotide ribosomal RNA is filed under the name uncultured bacterium. RNAcentral describes it as "partial 16S ribosomal RNA". It matches the Rfam family "Bacterial small subunit ribosomal RNA", at positions 355 to 895 of the family's 1533-position model. The record is from RNAcentral.
UGGGGAAUUUUGGACAAUGGGCGAAAGCCUGAUCCAGCAAUGCCGCGUGUGUGAAGAAGGCCUUCGGGUUGUAAAGCACUUUUGUCCGGAAAGAAAUCCUUGGCUCUAAUACAGUCGGGGGAUGACGGUACCGGAAGAAUAAGCACCGGCUAACUACGUGCCAGCAGCCGCGGUAAUACGUAGGGUGCAAGCGUUAAUCGGAAUUACUGGGCGUAAAGCGUGCGCAGGCGGUUUGCUAAGACCGAUGUGAAAUCCCCGGGCUCAACCUGGGAACUGCAUUGGUGACUGGCAGGCUAGAGUAUGGCAGAGGGGGGUAGAAUUCCACGUGUAGCAGUGAAAAUGCGUAGAGAUGUGGAGGAAUACCGAUGGCGAAGGCAGCCCCCUGGGCCAAUACUGACGCUCAUGCACGAAAAGCGUGGGGAGCAAACAGGAUUAGAUACCCUGGUAGUCCCACGCCCUAAACGAUGUCAACUAGUUGUUGGGGAUUCAUUUCCUUAGUAACGUAGCUAACGCGUGGAGUUGACCGCCUGGGGAGUACGGUCGCAAGAUU